UUGAAGAGUUGCAACUGGCGAUGAGGUGGGACACCACCGGGGAGCAGCACGAACGAAGACCUCCGCGAUCGUACGCCUGGGACGCGAGG
This 89-nucleotide non-coding RNA is filed under the name Arthrobacter sp. Its description in RNAcentral is "ZTP sequence". It matches the Rfam family "ZMP/ZTP riboswitch aptamer (pfl RNA motif)". Rfam says of the family: Previously known as pfl RNA. ZMP is also known as AICAR. The record is from RNAcentral. Lineage: Bacteria; Bacillati; Actinomycetota; Actinomycetes; Micrococcales; Micrococcaceae.